GAGGUGAUGCUGUAUGAAGUGUGCGAGGUGAUGCUGUGCGAGGUGAUGCUGUGUGAAGUUUGUGAGGUGAUGCUGUGUGAGGUGAUGCUGUGCGAGGUGAUGCUG
Molecule: long non-coding RNA, 105 nt
Organism: Astyanax mexicanus (Mexican tetra)
Lineage: Eukaryota; Metazoa; Chordata; Actinopteri; Characiformes; Acestrorhamphidae
Exons: 3
Source: RefSeq, a predicted model, not a curated record